RNAcentral lists this ribosomal RNA (429 nucleotides) under Chloroflexota bacterium. RNAcentral's name for it is "Chloroflexi bacterium partial 16S ribosomal RNA". It matches the Rfam family "Bacterial small subunit ribosomal RNA", at positions 355 to 776 of the family's 1533-position model. The record is from RNAcentral. Lineage: Bacteria; Bacillati; Chloroflexota.
UGGGGAAUAUUGCACAAUGGGCGCAAGCCUGAUGCAGCCAUGCCGCGUGUUUGAAGAAGGCCUUCGGGUUGUAAAGUACUUUCAGCGGGGAGGAAGGGAGUAAAGUUAAUACCUUUGCUCAUUGACGUUCCCCGCAGAAGAAGCACCGCCUAACUCCGUGCCAGCAGUCGCGGUAAUACGGAGGGUGCAAGCGUUAAUCGGAAUUACUGGGCGUAAAGCGCACGCAGGCGGUUUGUUAAGUCAGAUGUGAAAUCCCCGGGCUCAACCUGGGAACUGCAUCUGAUACUGGCAAGCUUGAGUCUCGUAGAGGGGGGUAGAAUUCCGGGUGUAGCGGUGAAAUGCGUAGAGAUCUGGAAGAAUACCGGUGGCGAAGGCGGCCCCCUGGACAAAGACUGACGCUCAGGUGCGAAAGCGUAGGGAGCAAACAGG